This 785-nucleotide long non-coding RNA is filed under the name Glycine max (soybean). RNAcentral describes it as "long non-coding RNA (GMAX_LNC000521)". Lineage: Eukaryota; Viridiplantae; Streptophyta; Magnoliopsida; Fabales; Fabaceae. The record is from RNAcentral.
AAAUACCGGCGUUGUCAAGAGAUACCAAAAUGGUUGUCCAAGCACCAGGAAAGACCUGCAUACAGGGUAAAGAAAAGUUAUUCUAGAGCAUAUACACUCCUUCUUUUGGUCAUGAAAAGCUAUUCUUGCAUACAAAUUAAAUUCAUGUUUCAUUUUACUUGCAAUUACAUGUCCUUUCAAGUUGGAACAACUAACCAGAAAGUGCUUCAUAUCAUGUAUAGAAAAAGUGCUUUGGUAUAUUGGAUGCAAAGCUUCUACAAAGAGAGGCCAAGAAAAAGCCAGCACAGUAUAUUAUUUUUAAAUAGAAAAGUAAAGAUAGGAUAGACAUUUUAAAUAUUCAUGGGGUUUAAAAGGGAAUUCUUAUUAAUGAUUCCAGAUCCAUGAGAAGCUGAAAAGAUAAAGUAAUGUGGUCAAAUCAAAAGAAAAACUAUAAAUGAUCAAGUACGACACAAUUAUGGUGUUCACUAUUUCAAAGUACAAAUUGAAAUGAACACUAGCAUUCUGAAAAUGGUUUUCAUGAAAUUGGUGUUCACUAGUUUAAAACUAUGUUAGAGCUGAUCUCAAAAUACAAACAUUUUCUGUAGAGGAGGAAAGUAGCAUUCUGAAGUUGCAUGCUUGGUUUAGCAGAAGCUUCAUAAGAAUUUGAAGGUAAAUUCAGAAGUUCUACAAUUAAAUGAAGACAACAAGGGUAGCAGCGAAUAAGGUGAGUUAUAUAUACUACCAUAAUUGCUGGUUAUAGUUUGAAACCUGUGUCAAGCUUUUCAAUGACCAUAGGAUGAAUGGGG